This 460-nucleotide ribosomal RNA is filed under the name uncultured bacterium. Its description in RNAcentral is "partial 16S ribosomal RNA". It matches the Rfam family "Bacterial small subunit ribosomal RNA", at positions 338 to 795 of the family's 1533-position model. The record is from RNAcentral.
CCUACGGGUGGCAGCAGUGAGGAAUAUUGGUCAAUGGACGAGAGUCUGAACCAGCCAAGUAGCGUGAAGGAUUACUGCCCUAUGGGUUGUAAACUUCUUUUAUAUGGGAAUAAAAUGUUCCACGUGUGGGAUUUUGUAUGUACCAUAUGAAUAAGGAUCGGCUAAAUCCGUGCCAGCAGCCGCGGUAAUACGGAGGAUCCGAGCGUUAUCCGGAUUUAUUGGGUUUAAAGGGAGCGUAGGUGGAUUGUUAAGUCCGUUGUGAAAGUUUGCGGCUCAACCGUGAAAUUGCAGUUGAAACUGGCAGUCUUGAAUACAGUAGAGGUGGGCGGAAUUCGUGGUGUAGCGGUGAAAUGCGUAGAUAUCACGAAGAACUCCGAUUGCGAAGGCAGUUCACUGGACUGCAAUUGACACUGAGGCUCGAAAGUGUGGGUAUCAAACAGGAUUAGAUACCCCAGUAGUC